AUUUAAGUAGCUAAAGUAAAUAGCGUAGUAUUGAAGAUACUAAGGUAGAUUUUUCUCUUAGAUA
Molecule: transfer RNA, 64 nt
Filed under: Scolytinae sp. BMNH 1043123
Lineage: Eukaryota; Metazoa; Arthropoda; Insecta; Coleoptera; Curculionidae
Description: tRNA-Phe
Source: RNAcentral